GUGAAUCAUCAAAUCUUUGAACGCAAAUUGCACUCUCUGGUAUUCCGGAGAGUAUGCCUGUUUGAGGGUCAGUUUAAAUAAAAAUCGGUUUUUUUGCUGUCUUUCGUGGUUACGCACCGGAUCUGGGUCGUCUUGCCUUCGGUUAAGUGACCUAAAAUUUUGCAUGAUUUUUUUCGAACGCAUGUAAAUGAUUUUACGUACGUUUGCGAUAACUUAUUC
This 219-nucleotide unclassified non-coding RNA is filed under the name Glomeraceae sp. RNAcentral's name for it is "partial contains 5.8S ribosomal RNA and internal transcribed spacer 2". The stretch from base 1 to 71 matches the Rfam family "5.8S ribosomal RNA", at positions 84 to 154 of the family's 154-position model. Lineage: Eukaryota; Fungi; Glomeromycota; Glomeromycetes; Glomerales; Glomeraceae. The record is from RNAcentral.